CGCUUUUUCUUUCACCGGAGCUUGCUCCACCGAAAGAAAAAGAGUGGCGAACGGGUGAGUAACACGUGGGUAACCUGCCCAUCAGAAGGGGAUAACACUUGGAAACAGGUGCUAAUACCGUAUAACACUAUUUUCCGCAUGGAAGAAAGUUGAAAGGCGCUUUUGCGUCACUGAUGGAUGGACCCGCGGUGCAUUAGCUAGUUGGUGAGGUAACGGCUCACCAAGGCAACGAUGCAUAGCCGACCUGAGAGGGUGAUCGGCCACACUGGGACUGAGACACGGCCCAGACUCCUACGGGAGGCAGCAGUAGGGAAUCUUCGGCAAUGGACGAAAGUCUGACCGAGCAACGCCGCGUGAGUGAAGAAGGUUUUCGGAUCGUAAAACUCUGUUGUUAGAGAAGAACAAGGAUGAGAGUAAAACGUUCAUCCCUUGACGGUAUCUAACCAGAAAGCCACGGCUAACUACGUGCCAGCAGCCGCGGUAAUACGUAGGUGGCAAGCGUUGUCCGGAUUUAUUGGGCGUAAAGCGAGCGCAGGCGGUUUCUUAAGUCUGAUGUGAAAGCCCCCGGCUCAACCGGGGAGGGUCAUUGGAAACUGGGAGACUUGAGUGCAGAAGAGGAGAGUGGAAUUCCAUGUGUAGCGGUGAAAUG
This 649-nucleotide ribosomal RNA is filed under the name Enterococcus gallinarum. RNAcentral's name for it is "bacterial SSU rRNA". It matches the Rfam family "Bacterial small subunit ribosomal RNA", at positions 67 to 688 of the family's 1533-position model. The record is from RNAcentral. Lineage: Bacteria; Bacillati; Bacillota; Bacilli; Lactobacillales; Enterococcaceae.